Triticum urartu is the source of this 209-nucleotide non-coding RNA. The record is from RefSeq and is a predicted model, not a curated record. NCBI's taxonomy places the organism in Eukaryota, Viridiplantae, Streptophyta, Magnoliopsida, Poales, Poaceae.
GGGAGAGAGCGCUGCGGAUCGCGGGCGGGAUCGACGGGAGCGGCCUCCAGUCUGCUGCUGCCACGGGGAAGAAGUGAAAAUGGAAGCUGACUUCAAGCUUAGCCCUGUAGGAAGGAAGGAUUGGAGAGCACUGGGGGCUGAUCUAGCUGGUCAACUCCUACUCUUUGUCUCUCUCUGCUGAAUAAGAAAUGAUUUAGCUUCACUGCAAA